UACGUAGGGUGCAAGCGUUGUCCGGAAUUAUUGGGCGUAAAGAGCUCGUAGGCGGUCUGUUGCGUCGGCUGUGAAAACCCGGGCUCAACCCGGGCCUGCAGCCGAUACGGCAGACUAGAGUUCGGCAGGGGAGACUGGAAUUCCUGGUGUAGCGGUGAAAUGCGCAGAUAUCAGGAGGAACACCGGUGGCGAAGGCGGGUCUCUGGGCCGAUACUGACGCUGAGGAGCGAAAGCGUGGGGAGCGAACAGG
This 250-nucleotide ribosomal RNA is filed under the name uncultured bacterium. Its description in RNAcentral is "partial 16S ribosomal RNA". It matches the Rfam family "Bacterial small subunit ribosomal RNA", at positions 524 to 776 of the family's 1533-position model. The record is from RNAcentral.